Oncorhynchus keta (chum salmon) is the source of this 2787-nucleotide long non-coding RNA. RefSeq lists it as uncharacterized. Lineage: Eukaryota; Metazoa; Chordata; Actinopteri; Salmoniformes; Salmonidae. The transcript has 3 exons. The record is from RefSeq and is a predicted model, not a curated record.
UGUGUGUGUGUGUGUGUGUGUGUGUGUGUGUGUGUGUGUGUGUUUACGAGUGCUGUGGCCUACUGUAUGUGCAUCAGUGAAUAGUAUGUGUGUUGUGAUAAUGAUGUUAAAGAGAGUGUGUGUUGUGAUGAGGUUAGAGAGAGUGUGUGUUGUGAUGAGGUUAGAGAGAGUAUGUGUUGUGAUGAGGUUAGAGAGAGUGUGUGUUGUGAUGAGGUUAGAGAGAGGGUGUGUUGUGAUGAGGUUAGAGAGAGUGUGUGUUGUGAUGAGGUUAGAGAGAGUGUGUGUUGUGAUGAGGUUAGAGAGAGUGUGUGUUGUGAUGAGGUUAGAGAGAGGGUGUGUUGUGAUGAGGUUAGAGAGAGUGUGUGUUGUGAUGAGGUUAGAGAGAGGGUGUGUUGUGAUGAGGUUAGAGAGAGUGUGUUGUAAUGAGGUUAGAGAGAGUGUGUUGUAAUGAGGUUAGAGAGAGUGUGUGUUGUGAUGAGGUUAGAGAGAGUGUGUGUUGUGAAGAUGUUAGAGAGGGUGUGUUGUAUUGUGGUGGAAUGAGAAUCUAGAUAGUUUCCCAAGCCAAGACCAUGGGCCUCAGGUAAGCUAAACUCUUGUGUUGUCUGUAAUGGCUCUGUCCUCUGUGCCCUCUGUUCUUCUCCCAGUGUCCUCUAAAGGCCCCUCCUCUCUGCAGUGCCCUGGCUCCUGGCCCACAACAGGUUCCCCGGCCACUCAUCUCACACACUGUCUCAUUAAGCUAUCACCUGCCUGCCCGCCUGCCCGUCGCCUAGUUGGCUGACACUGUGCUGGGACCUCCGUCCGCCAUGCCCCCGAGGCUAGCGCCUGCUCCCGCCACCGGUCACGAGAUACGCCUCUGUCUCGUGAUGUAUCCCCAUACAGGAGCCUGAAACAGAACCCCACUGUUGGGCCGCUGCCUCUCCUGUCCUGGUCACCCCGGCUACUUAAUGUAAUUACAGAAAGGGAAGCUAGCCAGGUCUCAACAUGCAGUCAGGGACUAUGUUAAAAAUGAUACCCUAUACAGUGCACUACUUUUGACCAGGGGUAGUGCACUAUAUAGGUAAUAGGGUACGAUUUCAGAUGCAAACAGGCAGUCAGUUCACCAGUCAGUCUACGCUGCCUGGACACCCUCACCCUGGCCCUGUCACAGCAUUACUGAGACGGUUGGAAAAUGCACCGUCACUCCACUCCUCAUUUGAGGUCCCGGUGGCAAACACACAGGGCUCCCAUUCAUAAAAGCCUUUCUGAUGGAAAACCCAAAUAGAGUUGCUGGGAUUAAGUUUCAGCUGCUGCGUGUGUUAGAGACAAACUCCAAGAGGAGGGACCUGCGGUGGUGGAGUAACUGACAAAUGAGGCAGGUAGGCCUGAGGAAGGAAACACUUCAGCUACUUAAUAUGGCUGUCAUCCCUCAGAUUACUGUGUUGUACUUGACUUGAAGAUUGCUCACAACAACCUCAAUGUUUAUUUAAGACAAGCUAUAUCCCUUCUGAUAAAACUAGAACCAGAGCCAAACUGUAUCAGAGCCCAAUUCAAUCCCCAAAGUUCAGCUUUAUAACGUUCCCGCUUUAGCGGAGACUGCAUUCGUGGCUCUAUCGGAAAUGACCUUCACAUUUCUAUAGCUGAAUCAGCUUUCCAUAUUGAAUAGUUCAAACUAACCUUUCUGUAGUCCAAGAUGAACUCUUAAUUAAGGAGCCUACCUUUACUCCUUCAGGUCCAAGGACCUUCUGUUAUCUUCUGAGGUAGACUGGCUCAAAACAGCCAAAUACUCUAUUUAAAUGUGAAUCGAUUAUUAAUAGCGAUCCGGUUCUAGAAACAUUAAGCCAUUUACUUACUCAUUUCACAAAUACAAAAUAUAGAAUUACUGUACAUCACAGGAGGCUGCUGAGCGGAUGUCGGCUCAUAAUGAUGGUUGGAAUGGCGCGGAUGGAAUGGCAUCAAACCCCUGGAAACCAUGUGUUUGGUUGGUGGUUGAAGAUAUCCCUCUAGUGGUGUGGGGGCUGUGCUUUGGCAAAGUGGGUGGGGUUAUAUCCUUCCUGUUUGGCCCUGUCCGGGGGUGUCCACGGAUGGGGCCACAGUGUCUCCUGACCCCUCCUGUCUCAGCCUCCAGUAUUUAUGCUGCAGUAGUUUAUGUGUCGGGGGGCUAGGGUCAGUUUGUUAUAUCUGGAGUACUUCUCCUGUCCUAUUCGGUGUCCUGUGUGAAUCUAAGUGUGCAUUCUCUAAUUCUCUCCUUCUCUCUUUCUUUCUCUUUCUCGGAGGACCUGAGCCCUAGGACCAUGCCCCAGGACUACCUGACAUGAUGACUCCUUGCUGUCCCCAGUCCACCUGACUGUGCUGCUGCUCCAGUUUCAACUGUUCUGCCUUAUUAUUAUUCCACCAUGCUGGUCAUUUAUGAACAUUUGAACAUCUUGGCCAUGUUCUGUUAUAAUCUCCACCCGGCACAGCCAGAAGAGGACUGGCCACCUCCACAUAGCCUGGUUCCUCUCUAGGUUUCUUCCUAGGUUUUGGCCUUUCUAGGGAGUUUUUCCUAGCCACCGUGCUUCUACACCUGCAUUGCUUGCUGUUUGGGGUUUUAGGCUGGGUUUAUGUACAGCACUUUGAGAUAUCAGCUGAUGUACGAAGUGCUAUGUAAAUAAAUUUGAUUUGAUUAGAUUUGAUUUGGUGUAUUUGAUACCAUUCCACUUCAGCCAUUACCACAAGCCCGUUCUCCCCAAUUAAGGAGCCACCAACCUCCUGUGCUGUACACUGUUUUAACAGGCUUUAUCACAGUUGCAGCCGACAGUAUUUCUCAGU